UGGCUCAGAUUGAACGCUGGCGGCAGGCCUAACACAUGCAAGUCGAGCGGUAGCACAAGAGAGCUUGCUCUCUGGGUGACGAGCGGCGGACGGGUGAGUAAUGUCUGGGAAACUGCCUGAUGGCGGGGGAUAACUAGUGGAAACGGUAGCUAAUACCGCAUAACGUCGCAAGACCAAAGUGGGGGACCUUCGGGCCUCACGCCAUCAGAUGUGCCCAGGUGGGAUUAGCUGGUAGGUGGGGUAACGGCUCACCUAGGCGACGAUCCCUAGCUGGUCUGAGAGGAUGACCAGCCACACUGGAACUGAGACACGGUCCAGACUCCUACGGGAGGCAGCAGUGGGGAAUAUUGCACAAUGGGCGCAAGCCUGAUGCAGCCAUGCCGCGUGUGUGAAGAAGGCCUUCGGGUUGUAAAGCACUUUCAGCGAGGAGGAAGGGUAAUGUGUUAAUA
RNAcentral lists this ribosomal RNA (449 nucleotides) under Serratia symbiotica. RNAcentral's name for it is "bacterial SSU rRNA". It matches the Rfam family "Bacterial small subunit ribosomal RNA", at positions 20 to 466 of the family's 1533-position model. The record is from RNAcentral. Lineage: Bacteria; Pseudomonadati; Pseudomonadota; Gammaproteobacteria; Enterobacterales; Yersiniaceae.